RNAcentral lists this ribosomal RNA (907 nucleotides) under Ralstonia sp. RNAcentral describes it as "bacterial SSU rRNA". It matches the Rfam family "Bacterial small subunit ribosomal RNA", at positions 79 to 984 of the family's 1533-position model. Lineage: Bacteria; Pseudomonadati; Pseudomonadota; Betaproteobacteria; Burkholderiales; Burkholderiaceae. The record is from RNAcentral.
CUUCUCCUGCCGGCGAGUGGCGAACGGGUGAGUAAUACAUCGGAACGUGCCCUGUAGUGGGGGAUAACUAGUCGAAAGAUUAGCUAAUACCGCAUACGACCUGAGGGUGAAAGUGGGGGACCGCAAGGCCUCAUGCUAUAGGAGCGGCCGAUGUCUGAUUAGCUAGUUGGUGGGGUAAAGGCCCACCAAGGCGACGAUCAGUAGCUGGUCUGAGAGGACGAUCAGCCACACUGGGACUGAGACACGGCCCAGACUCCUACGGGAGGCAGCAGUGGGGAAUUUUGGACAAUGGGCGAAAGCCUGAUCCAGCAAUGCCGCGUGUGUGAAGAAGGCCUUCGGGUUGUAAAGCACUUUUGUCCGGAAAGAAAUGGCUCUGGUUAAUACCUGGGGUCGAUGACGGUACCGGAAGAAUAAGGACCGGCUAACUACGUGCCAGCAGCCGCGGUAAUACGUAGGGUCCAAGCGUUAAUCGGAAUUACUGGGCGUAAAGCGUGCGCAGGCGGUUGUGCAAGACCGAUGUGAAAUCCCCGAGCUUAACUUGGGAAUUGCAUUGGUGACUGCACGGCUAGAGUGUGUCAGAGGGGGGUAGAAUUCCACGUGUAGCAGUGAAAUGCGUAGAGAUGUGGAGGAAUACCGAUGGCGAAGGCAGCCCCCUGGGAUAACACUGACGCUCAUGCACGAAAGCGUGGGGAGCAAACAGGAUUAGAUACCCUGGUAGUCCACGCCCUAAACGAUGUCAACUAGUUGUUGGGGAUUCAUUUCCUUAGUAACGUAGCUAACGCGUGAAGUUGACCGCCUGGGGAGUACGGUCGCAAGAUUAAAACUCAAAGGAAUUGACGGGGACCCGCACAAGCGGUGGAUGAUGUGAUUAAUUCGAUGCAACGCGAAAAACCUUACCUACCCUUGA